AGGUUGUCCGGUUCGUUCCGGACUGAAAAUGGAACGGGGUGUGAAUCCCCGACAGUACCCGCUGCUGUGAUUUCCGCUAAACCGUCGGAAUAAUGCCACUGGCUCUGAGCCGGGAAGGCUCCGACGGUUGGAAUAAGUCAGAAGACAUGCCUUUCGA
Molecule: non-coding RNA, 157 nt
Filed under: human gut metagenome
Source: RNAcentral